This 253-nucleotide ribosomal RNA is filed under the name uncultured bacterium. RNAcentral describes it as "partial 16S ribosomal RNA". It matches the Rfam family "Bacterial small subunit ribosomal RNA", at positions 524 to 776 of the family's 1533-position model. The record is from RNAcentral.
UACAGAGGGGGCAAGCGUUGUUCGGAAUUACUGGGCGUAAAGGGCGCGUAGGCGGCCCACUAAGUCGAACGUGAAAUCCCCGGGCUCAACCCGGGAACUGCGUCCGAUACUGGUGGGCUUGAAUCCGGGAGAGGGAUGCGGAAUUCCAGGUGUAGCGGUGAAAUGCGCAGAUAUCAGGAAGAACACCCGUGGCGAAGGCGGUUCUCUGGGACGGUACUGACGCUGAGACGCGAAAGCGUGGGGAGCGAACAGG